RNAcentral lists this non-coding RNA (30 nucleotides) under Rattus norvegicus (Norway rat). The record is from RNAcentral. Lineage: Eukaryota; Metazoa; Chordata; Mammalia; Rodentia; Muridae.
UGCUUUUGGCAAGUGCUGUGCCUUUCCUCU